This is a long non-coding RNA of Heterocephalus glaber (naked mole-rat), 3558 nucleotides long. RefSeq lists it as uncharacterized. The record is from RefSeq and is a predicted model, not a curated record. Lineage: Eukaryota; Metazoa; Chordata; Mammalia; Rodentia; Bathyergidae.
CCUAGUGUAGCAAUUGUUUAUUCUGGAUGAGCUCAUGGAUUCACUUUGAGCUCACCAGAAAGGACACGGUGUUGCCAGGAAUUUCCUGGCGUUUCUCUAGCAUCUAGCAUACUACUGGUUUGCCUCGGGACGUUAUUUCUUUGAUGGCGGAACAGGAGCAUAAAGGAAACUGGAUGAUUGUGGCUGAGAAACAGUUCUGCUGCUUCUCUGACAGACUUCGGGUUGCCUCAGGAUCCAGAGGGUCACGGUCGGCUCAGGGAGGAAGGGAUGAGGUUCCGAGGUCUGCCUCUGUCUGCCGGUGCUCACCACUGCAUCUCAGCCGGGGCUGGAGAAGUCAAUGCAGCAGCGGAGCUGACUGCGGCUCCCCGCGGUUGCCGUGGUAACCAGGAGCAGGCGGCUGGGGAAAGCAGUGGAGAAAAGGUCAUGAAUUUACAAACAGCAAGCAGCACCUGAGCACCACCCACGGUGUGGUGGACCUUGUGGCCCUUUCCGAGGUGCGGCUCUCAGUCCACGCAUCUCCCUGUGGCGUGGACUGGCAUGGUGGUCCACUGGGUGUCAGAGUCUGUGGAACGGAUCCAUGAAGUUAACUUCAAAGCAUCUUCACCAACUCAGCAAGAAUUGAGACCUCUCCACCCCACAGCGCCAUCCAACUCAUUCCUGGCAACAGAUGGGAGGCUUUGAGUUUACUUUAGCUGGCCAGCACCGGACAGACUUGCUAUAACUCGUACCUGGGCAUUUGCACCCACCACGGCACACAUGACUCUUGUGUGUGACAUAACCCUCCUUGGCCUUGUAUCCCUGUCUAACUGCUUUAUCUGGCGGGGGCAGGCAGGGAGCUCUGGGGAGCACAGAAAGCUGAGUGCUGCCCGCGAUGGACCCUCAGAAGAAAGUAUCUCUCCAGACUGCUUCUCCCUGCCCAGCUGUGGAUGUACUUUCUGCACCCACCUUGGCUUGCUUCUGAGACAAGCUGAUGGCUGCCACCAGAUGGAAACAAAGGAGCCUUUCUCUCUGUGUGAGUCAAUACACACUGACAGGAGCAUUCCUGGAUAGACUGCCCAUGUGUGCUGUGCUUCUCUGUUGUCUCAGGCAAAUGCAGCUUUAAUGCAUUAAACGAUCCUGGAAUUUCAUCAGCUGGAAGGGGUGCCAGUCCAGACAAAUGAUACAUUUUAAAACUGAAGUUUCCAUCUUUGCUGUAUCACAUGAGCAAUCCACUCAUUUGAAUUUUCCACCAAAUGCUUUGGGCUGAAUGGGAAAAACAAACUUUAUUGGUAACACCUUGAAAUUCAUUUUACAGACUCAAUCACACCUAUCUCUGUAUCUCUUUUUUUGCUGCUGUUGUUGUUUGUUUACUUGUUUGUUUUGUUUGUUUCUUGAGACAGGGUCUCAUUACGUAGUUUCAUCUAGUCUUGAGCUCACUAUGUAGCCCAGGCUGGCCUCGAACUCAUGGCAAUUCUCCUGCCUCAGCCUCCCAAGUGCUGGGAUUACAGGUGUGCACCACCAUGCCCAGCCCAAAACUUUUUUUAUAGUUUGGGGAUUCAAUUGAAAUCCAAUUUUUCUUUUCCUGCAAAGUCCACCAAAUCUUUAUAAGCCUUUAUAAAGUGCUUUGUCUUUUCUAGUUAUCAAUUCCUAAAUGAGCAGAUGGAUUCUAGAGUAUGCAGGCCUAGCAGGGGCAUGAAUUGUAUAUAUUUGAUAAAAAAACAGUAGGGACAAUUUUGGAAGUGAAACACAUGCUAGUUUUUCUAUAUUAAAUCUAGUGGUAGCUGGGUGUGGUGCCACACACCUGUAGUCCCAGCACUUCAGAGGCAGGAGGAUCAGACACCAUGAGCUGAGGCCGGCCUGGGCUACACAGUGAGUUCAAGGCCAGCCUGAACUACAUAUGAGACCCUUUCUCAAAAAACCAAAAAUAAAUAAACCAAUAAAUAAAACAUUAUAAUAAUACAUUUAAUUCGUUUUAUGCAUUGGAGGAAGCUCUAUAUCAGCAAGUGCCUGGAGUUUAGAAUGCCACUGAGUUUAUCAAAUUAUUUUGUUUUUAUGUUAUUAUUAUUAUUAUUUUGAUUUUUUAGGGUCUUACUAUAUAGUACACUUGAACUUACUACGCGCCCCAGGCUGGCCUUGAAUUUGUGGUAAACUUCCUGCCUCAGCCUUCCAAGUGCUGGGAUUAUAGGUAUGUGUCACCACACCUGGCUGAAUUGUUUUCAUCAUCGAAGGACCUCGACGGUAAGCAUGGAGCCCUGAGUGAGGGGACAGGAGUGCCAACUGGAGUACAGCCAGGAAUGCAGGAAUUCCUUCCCCAGAACCCAGCUUUCUACUCCUCUCACGCAGCCUUGAGAAUUGUGAAUCUCAGGAUCUCAUCUUUGGAGAUUUCGACAUGGGAUUUUGGCCUUCAAGACUGUAUUUUCAGGGUUCUGAGGGCGCUGGAUGAAAGGGAUGAUAAUCCUGGAGCUCAGGUACAGCUCCCUGGGGAGGGAAGACUGCAGCUUCGAGAGGCUGGGCAGGCUCAUGUGCACCCACCCCACCUGCCGCUCUGAGCAAAUGUCUUGCUGCUGGGGCUGUACUGUCCUCUCAUGCUUCCAAACCAAUCCCCUACGUUGUCAAGGGCAUGGAAUUGGAGAGUCCACCAAGCAUUAAAAUAAGGUAGAAGACAGAAUACAUUUGACCAAAUUCCUAUCAGCAUCUGGCUUUUUUUUUGAGACAGGGUCUCACUGUGUAGUCCGGGCUGGCCUCGAACUUGCAGUGAUUCUCCUGCCUCAGCCUUCAGAGUGCUGGGAUUACAGGCAUGCACACCAAACCUGGCCCAGCAUCUUCUUAUAAUUGUAGCAUUAUAAUCAGAGAGGACAGAUGCCUCGUAGAUGCAUUUUGUCUUCAAGGGUCAUUGGCCCCAGUCCUGCACCCAUGGGAGCUGUGUGUGGGAGACACACUGACCCCAGCCUGCAUUCUCCUGUUGGGGUCACCCAAGGGGCUCUUGCUCAUCCCAGUCCAAUUUUCCUUAGUCACAUUCUCCCCUGUAUCAGUCAGUGUCCCUUAUUUCCACAGCCAUGAAAGUGUGUGGGGAGCUGGCAGGCACCGGGCUGUGGUUCACAGGGGUCCCUGCUCGUCCUCUGUGCCCCUGGUCCCGGUUCUGCCAGAUCCCUAGUGACCCACAGGGCUCUGCCACAGUCCUAAAGCAAAGGCUAGAACUCGUUUUCACUGAGCUCCCACAAAGCUGAGGCCUUGCUUGAGUUAUGUCACUUCAUCCCGUCAGCUUGCGUGCUCUGACAUCGUGUUUCACAGUGAAGAGCUUCACAGCACAGAGAGCAAGGGACCUGCUUUGUAAGUUUCUGCAGUGGGGUGAGUGGCCAAGCUGGAAUUCCCACCCAGUUCUAUGUGACAGUGCAGCUGAAAUCUCUGCUCAUUUCUCCCACCACUCAUUGCUUGGUUUAAUCUAUUUCCCCUAUUACAUUUUUAAAAAAUUGAAUGUUUAUUUUAGAACAAUAUGAAAACAUAAAAGAAUAAAAAUCUUUCAUAAUCCUACUGCCCAAAGAAAACUAAUGUUAAUAUUCACUUUUAAAAAUAUAGUCA